Molecule: ribosomal RNA, 497 nt
Filed under: uncultured bacterium
Lineage: Bacteria
Description: partial 16S ribosomal RNA
Rfam family: Bacterial small subunit ribosomal RNA
Source: RNAcentral
GAUGAACGCUGGCGGCGUGCCUAAUACAUGCAAGUCGAGCGAACGGACGAGAAGCUUGUUUCUCUGAUGUUAGCGGCGGACGGGUGAGUAACACGUGGAUAACCUACCUAUAAGACUGGGAUAACUUCGGGAAACCGGAGCUAAUACCGGAUAAUAUUUUGAACCACAUGGUUCAAAAGUGAAAGACGGUCUUGCUGUCACUUAUAGAUGGAUCCGCGCUGCAUUAGCUAGUUGGUAAGGUAACGGCUUACCAAGGCAACGAUGCAUAGCCGACCUGGGAGGGGGUUCGGCCCCACUGGAACUGAGACACGGUCCAGCCCCCUACGGGAGGCAGCGGUAGGGAAUCUUCCGCAAUGGGCGAAAGCCUGACGGAGCACCGCCGCGUGAGUGAUGAAGGUCUUCGGAUCGUAAACCUCUGUUAUUAGGGAAGAACAUAUGUGUAAGUAAAUGUGCACAUCUUGACGGUACCUAAUCAGAAAGCCACGGCUAACUACGUG